AGCAGCCGCGGUAAUUCCAGCUCCAAUAGCGUAUAUUAAAGUUGUUGCAGUUAAAAAGCUCGUAGUUGAAUUUCGGGGUUAGUAGGUUGGUCAUGCCUCUGGUAUGUACUGGUCUCACUGAUUCCUCCUUCCUGAUGAACCUUAAUGCCAUUAAUUUGGUGUUUUGGGGAAUUUGGACUGUUACUUUGAAGAAAUUAGAGUGUUUAAAGCAAGCUAACGCUUGAAUACAUUAGCAUGGAAUAAUGAAAUAGGACGUUCGAUCCUAUUUUGUUGGUUUCUAGGAUUGACGUAAUGAUUAAUAGGGAUAGUUGGGGGCAUUAGUAUUCAAUUGUCAGAGGUGAAAUUCUUGGAUUUAUUGAAGACUAACUACUGCGAAAGCAUUUGCCAAGGAUGUUUUCAUUAAUCAAGAACGAAAGUUAGGGGAUCGAAGACGAUCAGAUACCGUCGUAGUCUUAACCAUAAACUA
This 466-nucleotide ribosomal RNA is filed under the name uncultured Glomus. Its description in RNAcentral is "SSU rRNA". It matches the Rfam family "Eukaryotic small subunit ribosomal RNA", at positions 569 to 1039 of the family's 1831-position model. The record is from RNAcentral. Lineage: Eukaryota; Fungi; Glomeromycota; Glomeromycetes; Glomerales; Glomeraceae.